AUUGACUCUGCACGUUCGUUUGCGUCGCGUAAGGUCGCUGGGAGUUCUUUUUCGACAAUAACUUGUGCUGUAGCGACGUGCCGGAACGCGACACGCUUGUAUCCGUUCUAAUGAGGUGCACACUGUCAAUUGUGCUUGUCGAGCCCAUCGCCUGAACUCUGCUCCUGAGCGACUGUUGGCAAAGUGUCAGAGCUUGUCGAGAUAAUUGUUCUCUCUCAGAAUCACGUCUCUCUAUCGACAAUUUAAAGGGAAAAAUGACUAUUCGUAUUACGUUUAAAAUUAUAAUUAUGUUGCAUCUAUUUUAUUUUGUUAUCAGUGAAAAACAACAAUGCAAAUAAAAUAGUAAUAGAUACAGAUCCUGGAAGAGAUGAUGCUCUAGCAGUAAUGCUGGCUGUAAAAUGUAUGGAUGUCAAUAUUCAAGGCAUAACUGUUACAUAUGGCAAUACAAAUUUAGAAAAUGCAGAAAAGAAUUUAUUAAAAAUCUUAACAGUUGCAGAAAAACAAAUUUGUAUUACACACACAGAUGAAAAAGAAACUUGUCUGAAAUAUUUUUUGUUUUCAUUUAUCU
This 568-nucleotide long non-coding RNA is filed under the name Monomorium pharaonis (pharaoh ant). RNAcentral describes it as "uncharacterized LOC105830261, transcript variant X2". Lineage: Eukaryota; Metazoa; Arthropoda; Insecta; Hymenoptera; Formicidae. The record is from RNAcentral.